AACGAACGCUGGCGGCAGGCCUCAAACAUGCAAGUCUAGGGGGUGUAGCAAUACAUCACCGGCGGACGGGUGCGUAACGCGUGGGAAUAUACCUAUCGAUUCGGAACAACUGAGGGAAACUUCAGCUAAUACCGAAUACGUCCUAACGGAGAAAGAUUUAUCGUCGAUAGAUUAGCCCGCGUUCGAUUAGCUAGUUGGUGGGGUAACGGCCCACCAAGGCGACGAUCGAUAGCUGUUCUGAGAGGAAGAUCAGCCACACUGGGACUGAGACACGGCCCAGACUCCUACGGGAGGCAGCAGUUGGGAAUCUUGGACAAUGGGGGAAACCCUGAUCCAGCCAUGCCGCGUGAGUGAUGAGGGCCUUCGGGUUGUAAAACUCUUUCGCGCACGACGAUAAUGACGGUAGUGCGAGAAGAAGCUCCGGCUAACUUCGUGCCAGCAGCCGCGGUAAU
RNAcentral lists this ribosomal RNA (452 nucleotides) under uncultured bacterium. RNAcentral's name for it is "bacterial SSU rRNA". It matches the Rfam family "Bacterial small subunit ribosomal RNA", at positions 29 to 524 of the family's 1533-position model. The record is from RNAcentral.